This 487-nucleotide ribosomal RNA is filed under the name uncultured bacterium. RNAcentral describes it as "partial 16S ribosomal RNA". It matches the Rfam family "Bacterial small subunit ribosomal RNA", at positions 28 to 523 of the family's 1533-position model. The record is from RNAcentral.
GAUGAACGCUGGCGGCGUGCUUAACACAUGCAAGUCGAACGGUGAAGGUGGGAGCUUGCUCCUGCUGGAUCAGUGGCGAACGGGUGAGUAACACGUGAGUAACCUGCCCCGGACUCUGGGAUAAGCGUUGGAAACGACGUCUAAUACCGGAUACGAGACGAGAAGGCAUCUUCACCGUCUGGAAAGAUUUUUUGGUCUGGGAUGGACUCGCGGCCUAUCAGGUUGUUGGUGAGGUAAUGGCUCACCAAGCCUACGACGGGUAGCCGGCCUGGGAGGGUGGCCGGCCACACUGGGACUGAGACACGGCCCAGACUCCUACGGGAGGCAGCAGUGGGGAAUAUUGCACAAUGGGCGAAAGCCUGAUGCAGCAACGCCGCGUGAGGGACGACGGCCUUCGGGUUGUAAACCUCUUUUAGUAGGGAAGAAGCGAAAGUGACGGUACCUGCAGAAAAAGCACCGGCUAACUACGUGCCAGCAGCCGCCGUAA